Molecule: ribozyme, 77 nt
Filed under: Aedes aegypti (yellow fever mosquito)
Lineage: Eukaryota; Metazoa; Arthropoda; Insecta; Diptera; Culicidae
Description: drz-agam-1 ribozyme
Rfam family: drz-agam-1 ribozyme
Source: Rfam by way of RNAcentral
UGCCCAGCAACUCCUAUCCCUACCUCCUCGUGGUACUGGCCAGGGUGGGAGCUUUGGUCGUAUGCUGGCAGGGAAGG